GACGAACGCUGGCGGCGUGCUUAACACAUGCAAGUCGAACGGAAAGGCCCUGCUUGUGUGGUGUGCUCGAGUGGCGAACGGGUGAGUAACACGUGAGUAACCUGCCCUUCACUUUGGGAUAACUUCAGGAAACUGGGGCUAAUACCGGAUAGGAGCUGCUGCUGCAUGGUGGGGGUUGGAAAGUUUCGGCGGUUGGGGAUGGACGCGCGGGUGAUCAGCUUGUUGGUGGGGUAGUGGCUUACCAAGGCUUUGACGGGUAGCCGGCCUGAGAGGGUGACCGGCCACAUUGGGACUGAGAGACGGACCAGACUGCUACGGGAGGCAGCAGUGGGGAAUAUUGCACAACGGGAGGAAGUCUGAUGCAGCAACGCCGCGUGCGGGAUGCCGGCCUUCGGGUUGUAAACCGCUUUCGCCUGUGACGAAGCGUGAGUGACGGUAAUGGGUAAAGAAGCACCGGCUAACUACGUG
Molecule: ribosomal RNA, 468 nt
Filed under: uncultured bacterium
Lineage: Bacteria
Description: partial 16S ribosomal RNA
Rfam family: Bacterial small subunit ribosomal RNA
Source: RNAcentral